RNAcentral lists this ribosomal RNA (204 nucleotides) under Dolichomastix tenuilepis. Its description in RNAcentral is "partial Bacterial large subunit ribosomal RNA". It matches the Rfam family "Bacterial large subunit ribosomal RNA", at positions 216 to 467 of the family's 2925-position model. Lineage: Eukaryota; Viridiplantae; Chlorophyta; Mamiellophyceae; Dolichomastigales; Dolichomastigaceae. The record is from RNAcentral. RNAcentral also lists the same sequence under 1 other name.
GAAAAGAAAUCAACCGAGAUUCCCCUAGUAGCGGCGAGCGAACGGGGAGCAGCCCUUAAGCUGUUUAGAAUUUAGUGGAAUCCUUUGGGAAGAGGAGCGAUACAAGGUGAUAGCCCUGUACACGACGGAUUCUUUACAGUGAAAUCGAGUAGGUCGGGACACGUGUUAUCUUGACUGAAUAUGGGGGGACCAUCCUCCAAGGCU